UUAUAUUUUCGAUUUCAUUGUUACAGGUAUGUGUGAUUGAUUUAUUGGUUUAAUAUCAUUAUCAUUAUUUCGAUUAUUUGAAUAAAACAUUGUUACAGAUGCAAUCAAGUUAAUUCAAUAAACAAUUGGAAUCUUACAAAUCGGAAAUAUAAUUUGUUUGACAUCUGGAUAUGUCAAAAUACCAGAUUUUUAUUGUGGCUGAGGACAGCAAUACAAAUGAGCAAACAACGGUUCUGAAGCUGAAAAGAAUCAAAGCAGCCGACGAAGAGACUUGGUACAGUUUUCCUAAUGAAUUCCAAAGUCUGAAUGACCAUAGAAAUUUGUCCGAUCUAUCAUCAGUUAAAUCUGCAGCAGGUUCAAUAAAAUCAACGGGACAGUUUCGCAAUGUUUAUGUAAUUCUAUCUUCAGAACUGAAGAAAAUUCAUAAAGAUGAAGCAGGUUAUUAUAUUUUCGAAUUGGAAUCUUACAAAUCCAGACCAAAAAGUGGCACGUUGAGGAUGGAGAUUCUUUUCAACAAUCAUUCUUGGAUUUUCUGAUACCCAAAUGGGAAAUUUAUGCUAUUAACGUAGCCUCAAGAUGCAAUCAAGUUAAUUCAAUAACGAAUUGAAAUCUUACAAAUCGAGAUUAUAAUUUUUUUGACAUCUCGAUAUAUCAAAAUACCAGAUUUUCAUUGUGGCUGAGGACAGGAAUACAAAUGAGCAAAUAACGGUUCUGAAGCUGAAAAGAAUCAAAGCAGCCGACGAAGAGACUUGGCACAGUUGAUGAAUUCCAAAGUUUGAAAGAUCAUAGAAAUUUGUCCGAUCUAUCAUCAGUUAAAUCUGCAGUAGAUUCUAUAAAAUCAACGGGACAGUUUCGCAAUGUUCAUGUAAUUCUAUCUUCAGAACUGGAGAAAAUUUAUAAAGAUGAAGCAGGUUAUUAUAUUCUCGAUUUGAAAUCUUACAAAUCCGGAACAAACAGUGGCACGUUGAGGAUGGAGAUGCUUUUCAACUUCUUUCAUUCUUGGAUUUUCCGAUCCCCAAAUGGGAAAAUUAUGCUUAUUAACGUAGCCUCUAAGGUGAAAAUGGGCCUCAUCACUGAAGAUGAUUUUUCGAUGAAAAUCCGGAUCAUUUUGAUGCAUUUCGAGGAUCCAAUCAGCGAAGAUACGAAGCAGACUUGAUCACUGCGAUUGACCAAGAGAACUGAAACUUCCCUUGAACCCUUAAAGUAUAACACCCUCUUCACAUCGACAGAGAAGAGAACCUCAAAGCUACCACAUCCGCGUGAGUAGAAGCAAGACAGUGUGGCACAUGAGCAAGAGCAACCCUUACACGCUUUGGACAACGUGACCAAUUUUUCUGUAAUAUGAGGUAGGUUUAUGAAUAGAAGUCAAUUAAUUGGAAUUCUUAAUAUAGAUUCGCGGGGUUAAUAUCUUUAGAAUUGAAACGUUUUGCUUCGUGACAACAAACAAAGGCUCAAAUUUGAAUGAGGGGGUUCGAU
Harmonia axyridis is the source of this 1476-nucleotide long non-coding RNA. RefSeq lists it as uncharacterized. NCBI's taxonomy places the organism in Eukaryota, Metazoa, Arthropoda, Insecta, Coleoptera, Coccinellidae. The record is from RefSeq and is a predicted model, not a curated record. The transcript is spliced from 3 exons.